GGGUUGGUAGGUUGGUCAUGCCUCUGGUAUGUACUGGUCUCACUGAUUCCUCCUUCCUGAUGAGCCGUAAUGCCAUUAAUUUGGUGUUGCGGGGAAUUUGGACCGUUACUUUGAAAAAAUUAGAGUGUUUAAAGCAAGCUAACGCUUGAAUACAUUAGCAUGGAAUAAUGGAAUAGGACCUUGGUCUUAUUUUGUUGGUUUCUAGGAUUGACGUA
This 215-nucleotide ribosomal RNA is filed under the name Campeiostachys nutans. RNAcentral's name for it is "Elymus nutans partial small subunit ribosomal RNA". The stretch from base 40 to 215 matches the Rfam family "Eukaryotic small subunit ribosomal RNA", at positions 686 to 864 of the family's 1831-position model. The record is from RNAcentral. Lineage: Eukaryota; Viridiplantae; Streptophyta; Magnoliopsida; Poales; Poaceae.